Molecule: small nuclear RNA, 104 nt
Organism: Cynocephalus volans (Philippine flying lemur)
Lineage: Eukaryota; Metazoa; Chordata; Mammalia; Dermoptera; Cynocephalidae
Source: RefSeq, a predicted model, not a curated record
GUGCUUGCUUCAGCAGCACAUAUACUAAAAUUGGAACGAUACAAAGAUUAGCAUGGCCCCUGCACAAGGAUGACAUGCAAAUUUAUGAAACGUUCCAUAUUUCU